RNAcentral lists this long non-coding RNA (310 nucleotides) under Ananas comosus (pineapple). RNAcentral's name for it is "long non-coding RNA (ACOM_LNC038520)". Lineage: Eukaryota; Viridiplantae; Streptophyta; Magnoliopsida; Poales; Bromeliaceae. The record is from RNAcentral.
UACUAUGCUAUUAAUAGCACGAAGCACUUGGUGCUACCAAAUUUUCCGCCGUUAAAUCUAUCCUUUUGAUCAUUUUCACCCGUUAGAUCAUACUAUUCAACCAACCACUCACUCAACCCUAGGGGGCCCACAUCAUCCUAACCACACAUCUCUUAAUUCAAUGGCCAAAAACUUGGUAGCACCAAUGACUUUGUGCUAUUAAUAGCAUAGUAGCCUAAUUCUAUAUAUAUAUACAUAUAUAUAUAUAUAUACAUAUAUAUAUAUAUAUAUAUAGCUAUAUAUGUAUACUAUAUAAUUUUAUGUAACAAAU